AGAGUUUGAUCCUGGCUCAGAUUGAACGCUGGCGGCAUGCCUAACACAUGCAAGUCGAACGGAAACGAUGGGAGCUUGCUCCCAGGCGUCGAGUGGCGGACGGGUGAGUAAUACUUAGGAAUCUGCCCAUUAGCGGGGGACAACUCGGGGAAACUCGAGCUAAUACCGCAUACGCCCUACGGGGGAAAGCGGAGGACCUUUCGGGGCUUCGCACUAAUGGAUGAGCCUAAGCCGGAUUAGCUAGUUGGUAGGGUAAAAGCCUACCAAGGCAACGAUCCGUAGCUGGUCUGAGAGGACGAUCAGCCACACUGGGACUGAGACACGGCCCAGACUCCUACGGGAGGCAGCAGUGGGGAAUAUUGAACAAUGGGCGAAAGCCUGAUUCAGCAAUGCCGCGUGUGUGAAGAAGGCCUGCGGGUUGUAAAGCACUUUCAGUAGAGAAGAAAAGCCUACGGUUAAUACCCGUGGGUCUUGACGUAACCUACAGAAGAAGCUCCGGCUAACUCCGUGCCAGCAGCCGCGGUAAUACGGAGGGAGCGAGCGUUAAUCGGAAUUACUGGGCGUAAAGCGCGCGUAGGCGGCUUUGUCAGUCGGAUGUGAAAGCCCUGGGCUCAACCUGGGAAUUGCAUUCGAUACUGCAGAGCUAGAGUAUGGUAGAGGGAAGUGGAAUUUCCGGUGUAGCGGUGAAAUGCGUAGAUA
RNAcentral lists this ribosomal RNA (699 nucleotides) under uncultured bacterium. RNAcentral describes it as "bacterial SSU rRNA". It matches the Rfam family "Bacterial small subunit ribosomal RNA", at positions 8 to 696 of the family's 1533-position model. The record is from RNAcentral.